UCGUUGUAUUUCAACUACAAGAACACCA
Molecule: non-coding RNA, 28 nt
Filed under: Pan troglodytes (chimpanzee)
Lineage: Eukaryota; Metazoa; Chordata; Mammalia; Primates; Hominidae
Also listed under: 1 other name
Source: RNAcentral